AAACUUAAACUGAAAGCAUCCAUCAACAUCCCUACAACUUAACUAGAACAUAAUCGAGGAUCAUAACAUCAUCCCUACAACUUAACUAAAAUUGAAAGCGUCUGUCUUCAUCAUCAAACAGGAACAUCAUCAUCAAGAUUAUAGUGUACUUGUGAGCUGCCACACACACUCAUACAAUCAUUCAUUUAUCUUUUGAAUCUAUGAACAAAAAAAC
Molecule: long non-coding RNA, 214 nt
Filed under: Hordeum vulgare
Lineage: Eukaryota; Viridiplantae; Streptophyta; Magnoliopsida; Poales; Poaceae
Description: long non-coding RNA (HVUL_LNC001034)
Source: RNAcentral